CCUACGGGCGGCAGCAGUGAGGAAUGUUGGUCAAUGGACGGAAGUCUGAACCAGCCAUGCCGCGUGCAGGAAGACCGCUCUAUGAGUUGUAAACUGCUUUUGUACAAGGGUAAACCUGAAUACGUGUAUUCAGCUGAAAGUACUGUACGAAUAAGGAUCGGCUAACUCCGUGCCAGCAGCCGCGGUAAGACGGAGGAUCCAAGCGUUAUCCGGAUUUAUUGGGUUUAAAGGGUGCGUAGGCGGAUUGAUAAGUUAGAGGUGAAAUGUCCGAGCUUAACUCGGGAACUGCCUCUAAUACUGUUGAUCUAGAGAGUAGAUGCGGUAGGCGGAAUGUAUGGUGUAGCGGUGAAAGGCUUAGAGAUCAUACAGAACACCGAUUGCGAAGGCAGCUUACCAAUCUAUAUCUGACGUUGAGGCACGAAAGCGUGGGGAGCAAACAGGAUUAGAUACCCUUGUAGUC
RNAcentral lists this ribosomal RNA (460 nucleotides) under uncultured bacterium. Its description in RNAcentral is "partial 16S ribosomal RNA". It matches the Rfam family "Bacterial small subunit ribosomal RNA", at positions 338 to 795 of the family's 1533-position model. The record is from RNAcentral.